RNAcentral lists this ribosomal RNA (254 nucleotides) under uncultured bacterium. Its description in RNAcentral is "partial 16S ribosomal RNA". It matches the Rfam family "Bacterial small subunit ribosomal RNA", at positions 524 to 776 of the family's 1533-position model. The record is from RNAcentral.
UACGGAAGGUGCAAGCGUUGUUCGGAAUUAUUGGGCGUAAAGAGUACGUAGGCGGAUUUGUAUGUCGAUUGUGAAAUCCCAGGGCUUAACCUUGGAAUUGCAGUCGAAACUGCGGAUCUUUGAAUACCUGAGAGGGUGGGAGAAUUCCUGGUGGAGAAGUGAAAUUCGUAGAGAUCAGGAGGAAUACCGGAGGCGAAGGCGCCUGCCUGGCAGUGUAUUGACGCUGAGGUACGAAAGCGUGGGGAGCAAACAGG